This 216-nucleotide ribosomal RNA is filed under the name Glomeromycotina sp. RNAcentral describes it as "partial small subunit ribosomal RNA". The stretch from base 40 to 216 matches the Rfam family "Eukaryotic small subunit ribosomal RNA", at positions 686 to 864 of the family's 1831-position model. The record is from RNAcentral. Lineage: Eukaryota; Fungi; Glomeromycota.
GGGUCAGUAGGUUGGUCGUGCCACCGGUACGUACUGGUCUCACUGAUUCCUCCUUCCUGAAGAACCGUAAUGCCAUUAAUUUGGUGUUGCGGGGAAACAGGACUGUUACUUGGGAAAAAUUAGAGUGUUUAAAGCAAGCUAACGCUUGAAUACAUUAGCAUGGAAUAAUGAAAUAGGACGAUCGAUCCUAUUUUGUUGGUUUCUAGGAUUGACGUA